GAUUAAGUUAUUAAGGGCGCACGGUGGAUGCCUUGGCACUAGAAGCCGAUGAAGGACGUUACUAACGACGAUAUGCUUUGGGGAGCUGUAAGUAAGCUUUGAUCCAGAGAUUUCCGAAUGGGGAAACCCAGCAUGAGUUAUGUCAUGUUAUCGAUAUGUGAAUACAUAGCAUAUCAGAAGGCACACCCGGAGAACUGAAACAUCUUAGUACCCGGAGGAAGAGAAAGAAAAUUCGAUUCCCUUAGUAGCGGCGAGCGAAACGGGAAGAGCCCAAACCAACAAGCUUGCUUGUUGGGGUUGUAGGACACUCUAUACGGAGUUACAAAGGACGACAUUAGACGAAUCAUCUGGAAAGAUGAAUCAAAGAAGGUAAUAAUCCUGUAGUCGAAAAUGUUGUCUCUCUUGAGUGGAUCCUGAGUACGACGGAGCACGUGAAAUUCCGUCGGAAUCUGGGAGGACCAUCUCCUAAGGCUAAAUACUCUCUAGUGACCGAUAGUGAACCAGUACCGUGAGGGAAAGGUGAAAAGCACCCCGGAAGGGGAGUGAAAUAGAACCUGAAACCGUG
This 565-nucleotide ribosomal RNA is filed under the name Staphylococcus aureus. RNAcentral describes it as "partial 23S ribosomal RNA". It matches the Rfam family "Bacterial large subunit ribosomal RNA", at positions 1 to 560 of the family's 2925-position model. Lineage: Bacteria; Bacillati; Bacillota; Bacilli; Caryophanales; Staphylococcaceae. The record is from RNAcentral.